The sequence is a transfer RNA, 81 nucleotides long. It matches the Rfam family "tRNA". Rfam says of the family: Transfer RNA (tRNA) molecules are approximately 80 nucleotides in length. The record is from Rfam.
GCUUCAGUGGCGCAGUGGUAGCGCGUGGGAUUGCAGUUUGCUACUAUCCUUAGGUCACGCGUUCGAAUCGCGUCUGGAGCU